RNAcentral lists this ribosomal RNA (404 nucleotides) under Actinomycetes bacterium. RNAcentral's name for it is "Actinobacteria bacterium partial 16S ribosomal RNA". It matches the Rfam family "Bacterial small subunit ribosomal RNA", at positions 355 to 776 of the family's 1533-position model. The record is from RNAcentral. Lineage: Bacteria; Bacillati; Actinomycetota; Actinomycetes.
UGGGGAAUAUUGGACAAUGGGCGCAAGCCUGAUCCAGCCAUGCCGCGUGAGUGAUGAAGGCCCUAGGGUUGUAAAGCUCUUUCACCGGUGAAGAUAAUGACGGUAACCGGAGAAGAAGCCCCGGCUAACUUCGUGCCAGCAGCCGCGGUAAUACGAAGGGGGCUAGCGUUGUUCGGAUUUACUGGGCGUAAAGCGCACGUAGGCGGACUUUUAAGUCAGGGGUGAAAUCCCGGGGCUCAACCCCGGAACUGCCUUUGAUACUGGAAGUCUUGAGUAUGGUAGAGGUGAGUGGAAUUCCGAGUGUAGAGGUGAAAUUCGUAGAUAUUAGGAGGAACACCAGUGGCGAAGGCGGCUCACUGGACCAUUACUGACGCUGAGGAGCGAAAGCGUGGGGAGCAAACAGG